Long non-coding RNA from Phyllostomus hastatus (greater spear-nosed bat), 1093 nucleotides. RefSeq lists it as uncharacterized. The transcript is spliced from 3 exons. The record is from RefSeq and is a predicted model, not a curated record. NCBI's taxonomy places the organism in Eukaryota, Metazoa, Chordata, Mammalia, Chiroptera, Phyllostomidae.
GUUGUGGAGAGGACAAAAAAAGAAGUGAUCUGGAAAUGUUCGUGAAAUGGAGUAAGAAUGGCUCCAGCAGCCAAACCCAACCAGGAUUCCUAAAAAGCAAAUCUCUUCUUGUAGGAGAUACAAACAUUUGGAGAAUUUAAGUUUUUUCUGUGGCCCAAUAAAGACUUUAAGCACAAGUAAAACAUGAAAACAAGAUGAAUAGUGCCCCAGUGCUUCUGAGACUGGACUGGAUGGAAUGGGAAAAUAUUACGGGACAGCCUGGGGAGAGGAUGGCUUUGCUUACACACCUACAUACUCUUUCACUUGUCAAUUCUGUGCCAAGUUGAAUUCUAGCUUUACAUUUCACUUCAUAUUACUAUCUCCACAUUUAUAAUUAGAUGUAAGACUACCAUAUACAUGUUAGUGAGAGGUAUAUAGUUUUGUGUCACUUUGGAGGUCAAUGAAUUCAAGUAGCCUCGCAGAUAUAAUGAGUGAGUUUAUUUUUGGUAAUGAGAAAGAUCAGUACAAAUGCUAAAACAAAGGUACAAUGUGAAGAGUAAGAAACAGUAUUUUUUAUAUUCUAAGAAAUAUAGGAGAUCAAGGCUAAGCAUGCAUGAUUUCUAUUCAAGGAAAUAGUUCAUGUUGAUAAUUGUAGUUAAGAAAAUUUUAAGACUAGACUCUGAUUUAUAGCUUUGGGUUAUUUUUACAUCCAUGAAAGCUGAAAGAGGAUGUGAAUCUUAAAUGAGUAAAAAAAUUGUUACUUUUGUUCAUUUAUGAUUGUAGUCAUGUGGACCUUAAAGGCCUCUUCUAGUCUUGACCUCUGCAUGGUAAGAUACCUCCUUAUUAAAAACACAUGUGUGUACACACUUACUGUUGGGGUGAGAUCUGUCAGCCCUUCUCUGGUUACCCUGGAAAGUAAAUGUUAUGACAGAAAGUAAAUCUCUCAAAUCAUGUUUAAAAUAUGCUUCCAUAACACUAUUUUUCAUGCCAUUUGUAUAGCACUAAUCACAUUAAAGUAUCAUUAUGUUUCAAAUUAAUCUAGUCCUCUGUAAGACCUUAAGUUACGUGAGGAUACCAGUGGCUAUCCCUCACAAACUCUGUAUUUUAUACCUUA